This 2906-nucleotide ribosomal RNA is filed under the name Escherichia coli. RNAcentral's name for it is "23S ribosomal RNA". It matches the Rfam family "Bacterial large subunit ribosomal RNA". Lineage: Bacteria; Pseudomonadati; Pseudomonadota; Gammaproteobacteria; Enterobacterales; Enterobacteriaceae. The record is from RNAcentral.
GGUUAAGCGACUAAGCGUACACGGUGGAUGCCCUGGCAGUCAGAGGCGAUGAAGGACGUGCUAAUCUGCGAUAAGCGUCGGUAAGGUGAUAUGAACCGUUAUAACCGGCGAUUUCCGAAUGGGGAAACCCAGUGUGUUUCGACACACUAUCAUUAACUGAAUCCAUAGGUUAAUGAGGCGAACCGGGGGAACUGAAACAUCUAAGUACCCCGAGGAAAAGAAAUCAACCGAGAUUCCCCCAGUAGCGGCGAGCGAACGGGGAGCAGCCCAGAGCCUGAAUCAGUGUGUGUGUUAGUGGAAGCGUCUGGAAAGGCGCGCGAUACAGGGUGACAGCCCCGUACACAAAAAUGCACAUGCUGUGAGCUCGAUGAGUAGGGCGGGACACGUGGUAUCCUGUCUGAAUAUGGGGGGACCAUCCUCCAAGGCUAAAUACUCCUGACUGACCGAUAGUGAACCAGUACCGUGAGGGAAAGGCGAAAAGAACCCCGGCGAGGGGAGUGAAAAAGAACCUGAAACCGUGUACGUACAAGCAGUGGGAGCACGCUUAGGCGUGUGACUGCGUACCUUUUGUAUAAUGGGUCAGCGACUUAUAUUCUGUAGCAAGGUUAACCGAAUAGGGGAGCCGAAGGGAAACCGAGUCUUAACUGGGCGUUAAGUUGCAGGGUAUAGACCCGAAACCCGGUGAUCUAGCCAUGGGCAGGUUGAAGGUUGGGUAACACUAACUGGAGGACCGAACCGACUAAUGUUGAAAAAUUAGCGGAUGACUUGUGGCUGGGGGUGAAAGGCCAAUCAAACCGGGAGAUAGCUGGUUCUCCCCGAAAGCUAUUUAGGUAGCGCCUCGUGAAUUCAUCUCCGGGGGUAGAGCACUGUUUCGGCAAGGGGGUCAUCCCGACUUACCAACCCGAUGCAAACUGCGAAUACCGGAGAAUGUUAUCACGGGAGACACACGGCGGGUGCUAACGUCCGUCGUGAAGAGGGAAACAACCCAGACCGCCAGCUAAGGUCCCAAAGUCAUGGUUAAGUGGGAAACGAUGUGGGAAGGCCCAGACAGCCAGGAUGUUGGCUUAGAAGCAGCCAUCAUUUAAAGAAAGCGUAAUAGCUCACUGGUCGAGUCGGCCUGCGCGGAAGAUGUAACGGGGCUAAACCAUGCACCGAAGCUGCGGCAGCGACGCUUAUGCGUUGUUGGGUAGGGGAGCGUUCUGUAAGCCUGUGAAGGUGUGCUGUGAGGCAUGCUGGAGGUAUCAGAAGUGCGAAUGCUGACAUAAGUAACGAUAAAGCGGGUGAAAAGCCCGCUCGCCGGAAGACCAAGGGUUCCUGUCCAACGUUAAUCGGGGCAGGGUGAGUCGACCCCUAAGGCGAGGCCGAAAGGCGUAGUCGAUGGGAAACAGGUUAAUAUUCCUGUACUUGGUGUUACUGCGAAGGGGGGACGGAGAAGGCUAUGUUGGCCGGGCGACGGUUGUCCCGGUUUAAGCGUGUAGGCUGGUUUUCCAGGCAAAUCCGGAAAAUCAAGGCUGAGGCGUGAUGACGAGGCACUACGGUGCUGAAGCAACAAAUGCCCUGCUUCCAGGAAAAGCCUCUAAGCAUCAGGUAACAUCAAAUCGUACCCCAAACCGACACAGGUGGUCAGGUAGAGAAUACCAAGGCGCUUGAGAGAACUCGGGUGAAGGAACUAGGCAAAAUGGUGCCGUAACUUCGGGAGAAGGCACGCUGAUAUGUAGGUGAAGUCCCUCGCGGAUGGAGCUGAAAUCAGUCGAAGAUACCAGCUGGCUGCAACUGUUUAUUAAAAACACAGCACUGUGCAAACACGAAAGUGGACGUAUACGGUGUGACGCCUGCCCGGUGCCGGAAGGUUAAUUGAUGGGGUUAGCCGCAAGGCGAAGCUCUUGAUCGAAGCCCCGGUAAACGGCGGCCGUAACUAUAACGGUCCUAAGGUAGCGAAAUUCCUUGUCGGGUAAGUUCCGACCUGCACGAAUGGCGUAAUGAUGGCCAGGCUGUCUCCACCCGAGACUCAGUGAAAUUGAACUCGCUGUGAAGAUGCAGUGUACCCGCGGCAAGACGGAAAGACCCCGUGAACCUUUACUAUAGCUUGACACUGAACAUUGAGCCUUGAUGUGUAGGAUAGGUGGGAGGCUUUGAAGUGUGGACGCCAGUCUGCAUGGAGCCGACCUUGAAAUACCACCCUUUAAUGUUUGAUGUUCUAACGUUGACCCGUAAUCCGGGUUGCGGACAGUGUCUGGUGGGUAGUUUGACUGGGGCGGUCUCCUCCUAAAGAGUAACGGAGGAGCACGAAGGUUGGCUAAUCCUGGUCGGACAUCAGGAGGUUAGUGCAAUGGCAUAAGCCAGCUUGACUGCGAGCGUGACGGCGCGAGCAGGUGCGAAAGCAGGUCAUAGUGAUCCGGUGGUUCUGAAUGGAAGGGCCAUCGCUCAACGGAUAAAAGGUACUCCGGGGAUAACAGGCUGAUACCGCCCAAGAGUUCAUAUCGACGGCGGUGUUUGGCACCUCGAUGUCGGCUCAUCACAUCCUGGGGCUGAAGUAGGUCCCAAGGGUAUGGCUGUUCGCCAUUUAAAGUGGUACGCGAGCUGGGUUUAGAACGUCGUGAGACAGUUCGGUCCCUAUCUGCCGUGGGCGCUGGAGAACUGAGGGGGGCUGCUCCUAGUACGAGAGGACCGGAGUGGACGCAUCACUGGUGUUCGGGUUGUCAUGCCAAUGGCACUGCCCGGUAGCUAAAUGCGGAAGAGAUAAGUGCUGAAAGCAUCUAAGCACGAAACUUGCCCCGAGAUGAGUUCUCCCUGACCCUUUAAGGGUCCUGAAGGAACGUUGAAGACGACGACGUUGAUAGGCCGGGUGUGUAAGCGCAGCGAUGCGUUGAGCUAACCGGUACUAAUGAACCGUGAGGCUUAACCUU